UACGAAGGGGGCUAGCGUUGUUCGGAAUUACUGGGCGUAAAGGGCUCGUAGGCGGCCAACUAAGUCGGACGUGAAAUCCCCAGGCUCAACCUGGGAACUGCGUCCGAUACUGGAUGGCUUGAAUCCGGGAGGGGGAUGCAGAAUUCCAGGUGUAGCGGUGAAAUGCGUAGAUAUCUGGAGGAAUACCGGUGGCGAAGGCGACAUCCUGGACCGGCAUUGACGCUGAGGAGCGAAAGCCAGGGGAGCAAACGGG
This 253-nucleotide ribosomal RNA is filed under the name uncultured bacterium. Its description in RNAcentral is "partial 16S ribosomal RNA". It matches the Rfam family "Bacterial small subunit ribosomal RNA", at positions 524 to 776 of the family's 1533-position model. The record is from RNAcentral.